UGCGAUUGUUCGUGCGAAUCGCUACACCGUAUCGAGGGGGACAGAUACUGACUCGGGAUCAAUUCCUCCGCGUCCACGCAAGAGGCGAAAUUUUCGGCUAAGAUAGGACUCAUCCUCCCGUUGCGCCGCCCGAACCAAAAAUCCCCCCUUCUCCCCCCAAGUCCGAUGCGCCGCCGUGCGCCGCCCCUCCCCGUCCUACAGCACUUCCUCUUCGUCCCCUUCUCUAGCUCGUCAUCAAGCUCUCCCAGCUUACUCCGGACCAACACCACCACCGAGGGCCACGUCUCCCUACCUACCCGGUCUGACCCCAGUGGAAGGAGCGGCGGCUGGCGAUGGCAGCCGAGGCGAGGAGCUGGCCAGGCCUCCCAAGAAGUGCCGGAUCGAGUCGCGCAACAACAGAUCUCGCAGUCGCAAGGUUGCUGGGAGGAGUGCCGCUGCCAGCGCUUCGCGGACGAAGCGGCUCCCAAUGCAAAGUUCGAUUUCUCGAUUUUUUUUUAUCUUCAUGUUCGGUAAGAUUGCUACCCUAUUUCUUUCAUAGGGCAAAGCGUGUUUUGAACUUUUGAUCAGAAUUAAGUGCCACAUGAGGAAACAAUACAGUGUACUAUGUGUUUUUCUUGUGAAUUCCUCUUGGUCUAAUACUGCUUAUUAUACCGAAAUUUGCGGUUACACCAUCUAUUUUUCUCUAUAUGUUUCUCUACAAAUUUACAACAUCCACUUUAGUACGAAUAUAGCAGUUACAGUAUAUUCAUCUGGGAUGUGCAUGGUUGAAAUGAUGACUUGUGAAUAUUCGUGCAGUGAAGGCCAAGACAUGGACCAUAUACACAAGUACCCAUCUCAGUAUAGCGAUUUUUUGAUAGGCACCUAGCACAUUUCUUAACACGCUUAGAACAACGGUAUGACUAUUAAUUCAGCAAUGAUAUUACCCCCUCAGUCCUAUAUUUAUUUGCAAUAUGCUUACUGGCUUUCUCUUGGCUGAAGAAUUCGGUGAACUAAAUAUGCCUCGCCUACACAAAUGUACUGUCCUUCCAAGACCAUCUAAUUCACCUUUUAUUUUCUGUUUAGAUCAUACAAGGUACUGCUGCUGCUGAAAUCCCGUGAACCUGUCUUUGAACACUGAGUGAAGGAGUCAGCUGGCAAAAUGCCAGAAGUAAAAGGUGAGCUUUCUUACUCAGCCAAUGGCCUCACUGCAUAGCUCCUUCAUAUGUGACAUAAAUUUGCAACACAAUUUGCCUAACUCAGUCAUGUUCUUGCAGUCCAAUAAUUUCCACCAAAGUUUUAGUUGAAUAUAUGGCGCAUUCAGGUAUAUAAGACAUCAUGAUCGCAAAUAGAAAGUUUAUAUGUGAUUACGAGACAUCAUGAUCACAAUUUGCUUAACUCAGUCAUGUUCUUGCAGUCCAAUAAAGUACCAAAAAAGUUUUAGCUGAAUAUAUGGCGCAUUCAGGUAUAUAAGACAUUAUGAUUACAAAUAGAGUUUAUAUGUGAUUAUGAGACAUCAUGAUAUAAAAAAGAGCACAUAAGUGUUAAUUGAAGCAACAGGAGAAUCAUGUUUGGGACCUUAAAAUUACUUCUGACUAAAAUGGUAACAUGUAGGCUCAUCAUGAUUUUAAUUGCUUCUGACUAAAAUGGUAACAACUAAUUACACUUUAUGUAUUGCUUACUUCAACAUGUAAAAGCUUGGUCAAUGCUUCACAACGAUAUGAUGGUAGGAACCCUCUCAUAUUCAACCACAGUUGGCAAACUAUGGAAGGAGCUUCUGGAUGUUCCUUGUGAUGCUCGUUGGAUGUUUCCACGGUACACCAUAGAUGAAACAGAGACUGACAUUAUUAUGAGAUACUUCCAAAUAAAACUUGUGUCUAGUGAUGGCUUUUGAAUAUCAUGUGCUUCCAAAAGCUUUGUUUGUGCAACCUAUGACUUUUGAAAGUUUUCCUUGUAACUUAAUUCAAGCAAACUAUCAUUUUGAACUAUUUGUUGGGCAUGCAAAAGAUUGUUCAAUGUGAAAGGUUUUCAGAAGAGAAGUGGAAAAAGAUUACUAUUUGCCAAAUGGAAAUGGCUCAGAGCUUCCUGUGUUCACAUAUUUUUCCCUAUUACUAUUUCUUGGACGCCAUAGUGAUCAAAGAAUUUGAGUUGCAGCAAAAUCUAUCAAUGAAAGUACUUGUUCACAAACGGUAGCUUUUUACUCUGAUAUAAAACCUAAUUUUGGGUAUGAUCAGUUCAGAUUUUUGUAAAUGCUGUGUGCUUCCUUUUCAUUUAUCAAUCCUAUAUGUGUGUGGCGUGUUAGACUUUAAUUCUUUAGCAUUAAUGUUACAUGAUCUUAAGCAUAAAUGUAUAGAACAUCUAAUUAUCAUAUGAGACCAGUUUGAGGAUCUUACUGUCAUUGGGAGUAGCUUUUGGUUAGGUGAAGCGAGGUUCCACACUCGUUUGAUGUAGGAUUGACGAGUAGGGGCUCGCUGCUGGUACCAGCGAUGAAACCCAUGCGUGACAUUACUGCAUUAUCUGUCUACAUAAGAGAAGAAGAUGAUCUAAAGGCGAUAAAACCUUUCCGACAUUAUAUGGAAAAAGGACAGGAGCCUGGUUUAAGGGCAUCUUUGGUUUGGCCUCAUCAUCAAAUGUAUGUUGUGAGCUACCGGAGUUUCUGUUGAGUGGCUAAAGUACACACGUGAAGAUGAUGUUGAGCUUGACCAUAAGAGAUCGAAAACUACAGUGAUAGAGGGUGACGAUGAUAUGCAGAUGGACAACAAGCUAGCUCCGUGUGUCACAGAGUGAGCAUAGUUCAGCAGAAUGUGAACAACUUCUAAGCUGCAGUUCUUGUAAUAUGUUUUUUGUACGGAAUACUUGUUAAAGUAUAUUUGUGAGGAAUUCUGGCUCAAAAUUGACCAUAAGUGUGAUUGC
Molecule: ribosomal RNA, 2889 nt
Filed under: Triticum aestivum (bread wheat)
Lineage: Eukaryota; Viridiplantae; Streptophyta; Magnoliopsida; Poales; Poaceae
Description: partial small subunit ribosomal RNA
Source: RNAcentral